AUGGGAACGCGAAGAACCUUACCUGGUCUUGACAUCCACAGAACUUAGCAGAGAUGCUUUGGUGCCUUCGGGAACUGUGAGACAGGUGCUGCAUGGCUGUCGUCAGCUCGUGUUGUGAAAUGUUGGGUUAAGUCCCGCAACGAGCGCAACCCUUAUCCUUUGUUGCCAGCGGUUAGGCCGGGAACUCAAAGGAGACUGCCAGUGAUAAACUGGAGGAAGGUGGGGAUGACGUCAAGUCAUCAUGGCCCUUACGAGUAGGGCUACACACGUGCUACAAUGGCGCAUACAAAGAGAAGCGACCUCGCGAGAGCAAGCGGACCUCAUAAAGUGCGUCGUAGUCCGGAUUGGAGUCUGCAACUCGACUCCAUGAAGUCGGAAUCGCUAGUAAUCGUAGAUCAGAAUGCUACGGUGAAUACGUUCCCGGGUCUUGUACACACCG
This 439-nucleotide ribosomal RNA is filed under the name uncultured bacterium. Its description in RNAcentral is "bacterial SSU rRNA". It matches the Rfam family "Bacterial small subunit ribosomal RNA", at positions 954 to 1392 of the family's 1533-position model. The record is from RNAcentral.